CUACGGGAGGCAGCAGUGGGGAAUAUUGGACAAUGGGCGCAAGCCUGAUCCAGCCAUGCCGCGUGAGUGAUGAAGGCCUUCGGGUCGUAAAGCACUUUUCGGGAGGAUGAGGAAGGACAGUACUCCCGGAAUAAGUCACGGCUAACUACGUGCCAGCAGCCGCGGUAAAACGUAGGUGGCUAACGUUAUCCGGAUUUACUGGGCGUAAAGCGCGCGCAGGCGGCUUCGCAAGUCGGGCAUGAAAUCUCCUCGCUUAACGGGGAGAGGUUGUUCGGUACUGCGGGGCUUGAGGGCAGUAGAGGGUGGUGGAAUUCCGCAUGUAGUGGUGAAAUGCGUAGAGAUGCGGAGGAACACCAGUGGCGAAGGCGGCCACCUGGACUGCUCCUGACGCUAAAGCGCGAAAGCUAGGGUAGCAAACGGGAUUAGAAACCCUUGUAGUCC
RNAcentral lists this ribosomal RNA (441 nucleotides) under uncultured bacterium. RNAcentral's name for it is "bacterial SSU rRNA". It matches the Rfam family "Bacterial small subunit ribosomal RNA", at positions 339 to 796 of the family's 1533-position model. The record is from RNAcentral.